UACGGGGGGUGCGAGCGUUGUCCGGAAUCACUGGGCGUAAAGGGCGCGUCGGUGGUUUGAUAAGGGUGUGGUGAAAGUCCGGGGCUCAACCCCGGAUCUGCCGUGCCGACUGUCAAACUCGAGGACUGUAGAGGCAGACGGAAUUCCGGGUGUAGCGGUGGAAUGCGUAGAGAUCCGGAGGAAGACCGGUGGCGAAGGCGGUCUGCUGGGCAGUUUCUGACACUGAGGCGCGACAGCGUGGGGAGCAAACAGG
RNAcentral lists this ribosomal RNA (253 nucleotides) under uncultured bacterium. Its description in RNAcentral is "partial 16S ribosomal RNA". It matches the Rfam family "Bacterial small subunit ribosomal RNA", at positions 524 to 776 of the family's 1533-position model. The record is from RNAcentral.